This 253-nucleotide ribosomal RNA is filed under the name uncultured bacterium. RNAcentral's name for it is "partial 16S ribosomal RNA". It matches the Rfam family "Bacterial small subunit ribosomal RNA", at positions 524 to 776 of the family's 1533-position model. The record is from RNAcentral.
UACGUAGGGUGCAAGCGUUAAUCGGAAUUACUGGGCGUAAAGCGUGCGCAGGCGGUUGUGCAAGACAGAUGUGAAAUCCCCGGGCUCAACCUGGGAACUGCAUUUGUGACUGCACGGCUAGAGUGCGGCAGAGGGAGAUGGAAUUCCGCGUGUAGCAGUGAAAUGCGUAGAGAUGUGGAGGAACACCGAUGGCGAAGGCAGCCCCCUGGGUCAAGAUUGACGCUCAUGCACGAAAGCGUGGGGAGCAAACAGG